GACGAACGCUGUCGGCGUGCUUAACACAUGCAAGUCGAACGGAAAGGCCCUGCUUUUGUGGGGUGCUCGAGUGGCGAACGGGUGAGUAACACGUGAGUAACCUGCCCUUGACUUUGGGAUAACUUCAGGAAACUGGGGCUAAUACCGGAUAGGAGCUCCUGCUGCAUGGUGGGGGUUGGAAAGUUUCGGCGGUUGGGGAUGGACUCGCGGCUUAUCAGCUUGUUGGUGGGGUAGUGGCUUACCAAGGCUUUGACGGGUAGCCGGCCUGAGAGGGUGACCGGCCACAUUGGGACUGAGAUACGGCCCAGACUCCUACGGGAGGCAGCAGUGGGGAAUAUUGCACAAUGGGCGGAAGCCUGAUGCAGCAACGCCGCGUGCGGGAUGACGGCCUUCGGGUUGUAAACCGCUUUCGCCUGUGACGAAGCGUGAGUGACGGUAAUGGGUAAAGAAGCACCGGCUAACUACGUGCCAGCAGCCGCGGUGAUACGUAGGGUGCGAGCGUUGUCCGGAUUUAUUGGGCGUAAAGGGCUCGUAGGUGGUUGAUCGCGUCGGAAGUGUAAUCUUGGGGCUUAACCCUGAGCGUGCUUUCGAUACGGGUUGACUUGAGGAAGGUAGGGGAGAAUGGAAUUCCUGGUGGAGCGGUGGAAUGCGCAGAUAUCAGGAGGAACACCAGUGGCGAAGGCGGUUCUCUGGGCCUUUCCUGACGCUGAGGAGCGAAAGCGUGGGGAGCGAACAGGCUUAGAUACCCUGGUAGUCCACGCUGUAAACGGUGGGUACUAGGUGUGGGGUCCAUUCCACGGGUUCCGUGCCGUAGCUAACGCUUUAAGUACCCCGCCUGGGGAGUACGGCCGCAAGGCUAAAACUCAAAGGAAUUGACGGGGCCCCGCACAAGCGGCGGAGCAUGCGGAUUAAUUCGAUGCAACGCGUAGAACCUUACCUGGGUUUGACAUGGAUCGGGAGUGCUCAGAGAUGGGUGUGCCUCUUUUGGGGUCGGUUCACAGGUGGUGCAUGGCUGUCGUCAGCUCGUGUCGUGAGAUGUUGGGUUAAGUCCCGCAACGAGCGCAACCCUUGUUCACUGUUGCCAGCACGUUAUGGUGGGGACUCAGUGGAGACCGCCGGGGUCAACUCGGAGGAAGGUGGGGAUGACGUCAAGUCAUCAUGCCCCUUAUGUCCAGGGCUUCACGCAUGCUACAAUGGCUGGUACAGAGAGUGGCGAGCCUGUGAGGGUGAGCGAAUCUCGGAAAGCCGGUCUCAGUUCGGAUGGGGGUCUGCAACUCGACCUCAUGAAGUCGGAGUCGCUAGUAAUCGCAGAUCAGCAACGCUGCGGUGAAUACGUUCCCGGG
RNAcentral lists this ribosomal RNA (1343 nucleotides) under uncultured bacterium. RNAcentral describes it as "16S ribosomal RNA". It matches the Rfam family "Bacterial small subunit ribosomal RNA", at positions 28 to 1378 of the family's 1533-position model. The record is from RNAcentral.